AUUGAACGCUGGCGGCAGGCCUAACACAUGCAAGUCGAACGAGUGGCGGACGGGUGAGUAAUGUCUGGGAAACUGCCAGAUGGAGGGGGAUAACUACUGGAAACGGUAGAUAAUACCGCAUACCAUCAGAAGUGCCCAGAGGGGAUUAUCUGGGUGGUGGGGUAACGGCUCACCAAGGCGACGAUCCCUAGCUGGUCUUAGAGGAUGACCCGCCACACUGAAGCUGAGACACGGUCCAUACUCCUACGGGAGGCGGUAGUGGGGAAUAUUGCACAAUGGGCGCAUGCCUGAUACAGCCAUGCCGCGUGUAUGAAGGAGGCCUUCGGGUUGUAAAGUACUUUCAGCGGGGAGGCGUUACCCGCAGAAGAAGCACCGGCUAACUCCGUGCCAUCAGCCGCGGUAAUAC
This 406-nucleotide ribosomal RNA is filed under the name uncultured bacterium. RNAcentral's name for it is "partial 16S ribosomal RNA". It matches the Rfam family "Bacterial small subunit ribosomal RNA", at positions 30 to 526 of the family's 1533-position model. The record is from RNAcentral.